RNAcentral lists this ribosomal RNA (497 nucleotides) under uncultured bacterium. RNAcentral's name for it is "partial 16S ribosomal RNA". It matches the Rfam family "Bacterial small subunit ribosomal RNA", at positions 28 to 507 of the family's 1533-position model. The record is from RNAcentral.
GAUGAACGCUGGCGGCGUGCCUAAUACAUGCGAGUCGAGCGAACGGACGAGAAGCUUGCUUUUCUGAUGUUAGCGGCGGACGGGUGAGUAACACGUGGAUAACCUACCUAUAAGACUGGGAUAACUUCGGGAAACCGGAGCUAAUACCGGAUAAUAUUUUGAACCGCAUGGUUCAAAAGUGAAAGACGGUCUUGCUGUCACUUAUAGAUGGAUCCGCGCUGCAUUAGCUAGUUGGUAAGGUAACGGCUUACCAAGGCAACUAUGCAUAGCCGACCGGAGAGGGGGGUCGGCCACACUGGAACUGAGACACGGUCCAGACUCCUACGGGAGGCAGCAGUAGGGAAUCUUCCGCAAUGGUCGAAAGCAUGACGGAGCAACGCCGCGUGAGUGAUGAAGGUCUUCGGAUCGUAAAACUCUGUUAUUAGGGAAGAACAUAUGUGUAAGUAACUGUGCACAGCUUGACGGUACCUAAUCAGAAAGCCACGGCUAACUACGUG